This 253-nucleotide ribosomal RNA is filed under the name uncultured bacterium. RNAcentral's name for it is "partial 16S ribosomal RNA". It matches the Rfam family "Bacterial small subunit ribosomal RNA", at positions 524 to 776 of the family's 1533-position model. The record is from RNAcentral.
UACGUAGGGGGCUAGCGUUGUCCGGAAUCAUUAGGCGUAAAGAGCGUGUAGGCGGCCCGGUAAGUCCGCUGUGAAAGUCGGGGGCUCAACCCUCGAAUGCCGGUGGAUACUGUCGGGCUCGAGUGCGGAAGAGGCGAGUGGAAUUCCUGGUGUAGCGGUGAAAUGCGCAGAUAUCAGGAGGAACACCAAUUGCGAAGGCAGCUCGCUGGGACGUUACUGACGCUGAGACGCGAAAGCGUGGGGAGCAAACAGG